RNAcentral lists this ribosomal RNA (32 nucleotides) under Syncephalastrum racemosum. RNAcentral describes it as "partial 18S ribosomal RNA". Lineage: Eukaryota; Fungi; Mucoromycota; Mucoromycetes; Mucorales; Syncephalastraceae. The record is from RNAcentral.
UUUCCGUAGGUGCACCUGCGGAAGGAUCAUUC